RNAcentral lists this long non-coding RNA (1604 nucleotides) under Vigna radiata. Its description in RNAcentral is "long non-coding RNA (VRAD_LNC012559)". Lineage: Eukaryota; Viridiplantae; Streptophyta; Magnoliopsida; Fabales; Fabaceae. The record is from RNAcentral.
AAUGACGACUAAUUUCAAAAUAUAGGUGCAAGAAAUUUUUUAAUUUACCUUCUUUUCAAGCAACCUAUGUUUUGUUGUGAGACAGGACUAAUUUGGUGCGUGGUACUAAGAUUUUGAAAUUAUUUAAAGUCUUGGUUUUUUUUUUUUAGACUUGGAGGCUGGAAUGAACUCUUUAAAUCCCCAAAUGAUAAUUAGUGUCAAAAUAUAGGUGCAAGAAAUGUGUCCAUUUUGCUGCUUUUCAAGCCAGCUACGUUUGGUGGUGAGAGUGGACUAAGUUGGUGCUUCGUUCCAAGAUUUGGAAAUUUUUUAAAGUCUUGGAUUUUUAGACUUAGGGGCUACAAUGCACUCUUUAAAUCCCCAAAUGAAGACUAGUGUCAAAAUAUAGGUGCAAGAAAUGGUUCAAUUUAGUUGCUUUUCAAGCAAGCUAUGUUUGGUUGUGAGACUGGACUAAGUUGGUGCUUGGUACCAGGAUUUGGAAAUUUUUGAAGGUCUUGGUUUUUUAGACUUAGGGGCCGCAGUGCACUCUUUAAGUCCCCAAAUGACGUAUAGUGUCAAAAUAUAGGUGAAGGAAUUGUUUCAAUUUUGUUUCUUUUCAAGCAAGCUAUGUUUGUUUGUGAGACUGGACUAAGUUGUUGCUUGGUACCAGGAUUUUGAAAUUUUUUAAAGUCUUAGUUUUUUAGACCUAGGGGCUGGAACGCAGUCUUUAAAUCCCCAAAUGAUAAUUAGUGUCAAAAUAUAGGUGCAAGAAAUAUGUGCAUUUACUUGCUUUUCAAGCAAGCUAUGUUUCGUGGUGAGACUGUACUAAGUUGGUGUUUGGUACCAAGGUUUGGAAAUUUUUUAAAGUCUUUGUUUUUUAGACUUUAGGGUUAGAAUGCGCUCUUUAAAUCUCCAAAUGACGACCAGUGGCAAAAUAUAGGUGCAGGAAAUGUCUCAAUUUAGUAGCUUUUCAAGCUCGCUAUGUUUGGUGGUGAGAUAGGACUAAGUUCGUGAUUAGUGCCAAGAUUUGGAAAUUUUUGAUAGUCUUGGUUUUUUAGACUUAGCGGCUGCAUUGCACUCUUUAAAUCCCCAAAUGACGACUAGUUUCAAAAUAUAGGUGCAAGAAAUGUUUUAAUUUAGUUUCUUUUCAAGCAAGCUAUAUUUGGUUGUGAGACAGGAAUACGUUGGUGCGUGGUACUAAGAUUUUGAAAUUUUUUAAAGUCUUGGUUUUUUUUUUAGACUUAGGGGCUGGAAUGAAUACUUUAAAUCCCCAAAUGAUAAUUAGUGUCAAAAUAUAGGUGCAAGAAAUGUGUCCAUUUAGCUGCUUUUCAAGCAAGCUAUGUUUGGUGGAGAGACUGGACUAAGUAUUUGCUUCGUGCCAAGAUUUGGAAAUUUUUUAAAGUCUUGGUUAUUUAGACUUAGCGGCUGCAUUGCACUCUUUAAAUCCCCAAAUGAUAAUUAGUGUCAAAAUAUAGGUGCAAGAAAUGUGUCCAUUUAGUUGCUUUUCAAGCAAGCUAUGUUUCGUGGUGAGAGUGGACUAAGUUGGUGUUUGGUACCAAGGUUUAGAAAUUUUUUAAAGUCUUUGUUUUUUAGACUUUGGGGUUGGAAUGCGCUAUUUAAAUCUCCAA